AUAAAAGGAAGCUAGCUUGUCAAAGAGCAACUAUUUGAAACUUAUGCCAAGAAUACAACCUUUUUUGUGCCAUUCAAUAGAAAUCAAACCUAAAAAUAUCAUCAAGUGUCAUGCAACAGCAGUACCAAAACCAAUAUAAUAGAAAUAUAUUGCCCAAACCUGCAACAAAUUUUCCACAACACCCAACAUCACAGCUUUGGCAUGGAAAUUCUG
This 213-nucleotide unclassified non-coding RNA is filed under the name Hevea brasiliensis (rubber tree). The record is from RNAcentral. Lineage: Eukaryota; Viridiplantae; Streptophyta; Magnoliopsida; Malpighiales; Euphorbiaceae.